RNAcentral lists this ribosomal RNA (815 nucleotides) under Atypoides gertschi. RNAcentral describes it as "eukaryotic LSU rRNA". It matches the Rfam family "Eukaryotic large subunit ribosomal RNA", at positions 578 to 885 of the family's 3401-position model. The record is from RNAcentral. Lineage: Eukaryota; Metazoa; Arthropoda; Arachnida; Araneae; Antrodiaetidae.
CUCGAAAUCCUCUUGCGGGGGGAUUCAGUCAGGAAUCCGCGGUGCCCCUUCGUCUCGAGCGACCCCUAAGUAAGGGCGUUCGGGAUCGGGGUUUGUUUUCGUGGGAGCCUGACGCAUUUCCUCCCGCACCAAGGACGCCGCAGCCGGUUGGGUAGCUGCGCGUGUCGGCCAUGAGGGCGGGCAACGGAAGGUGGCCGGAGUCCGUGUCCCCUUAAAAGGACGGCGGUCUCCGGUUGUUAGCCAGCCCGUCCGUGGCACGACACCCGACCGAGGUUUCGGAGGUCCUUUUUGGGACCUUGCCACCCCCUCUAUUAUUUGUUUAAUAGAGCGGGCCGCCAGACAGGUGUGUUCCUGCGUUGGCAUUUUCAGUCUCCGCACCGGGUGGCUCGCAGGGUAAAAGAAACUCGGCAGCAAUUUCGGUUGUUGUUGUUUGUUUUUACCUCCGAUGGUCUGGAUCGGCUCCGAUGUUGUUGGGGUUUAAAUGGCUAGCGGCGAGUAGGUCGGUCACCCACCCGACCCGUCUUGAAACACGGACCAAGGAGUCUAACAUGUGCGCGGGUCAUGGGGUCUUGCUUAGGCCCAAAGGCGCAAUGAAAGUGAAAAGUGACGUCGAAAAAAAGAAUACUUUUUUUUCUGACGGCUCGGUUGGGAUUCGCACCCGAUUUGGUGGCGGGUGCGAAGCACCAACGACCCGCCCUAUCCUAUUUCAUUAGGUUGGACGGAGUCCGAGCGCACACGUUGGGACCCGAAAGAUGGUGAACUAUGCCUGGGCAGGACGAAGCCAGAGGAAACUCUGGUGGAGGUCCGCAGCGGUU